Long non-coding RNA from Thunnus maccoyii (southern bluefin tuna), 1179 nucleotides. RefSeq lists it as uncharacterized. NCBI's taxonomy places the organism in Eukaryota, Metazoa, Chordata, Actinopteri, Scombriformes, Scombridae. The transcript has 2 exons. The record is from RefSeq and is a predicted model, not a curated record.
GCUGGAGGGAUGACCCUGAGAAUCACAUUAUGUAUAUUUCUUUAGCGGUCGCCGCGAAUUUGCAUGUAGAAGACAGUUAAAAUAAGGCCAUAAAUCAGCGGGCAAACAUAUAAAUGGAUUUGUGGUGAGAUUGAAACCCCUGGCGAGUCUCCUGAGCAAAUAUUUCAAGCCUUCCUCGUACCUCGGCUCGGAGAUAUCGGCUGUCAUUAACUAGCCCGGGCCUCUCUGACCACUCGGCUUGUAUAUUCACUUCAUUACACGACGGGGGUGACGACUGUACGACUGGCUGCCCCCGAUAAAUUUACCUGCAUAUUCUGAUACGUGCUUUGUCAUCAGGGGAGAAGCACUAAAAGCUGAAGCUUUAUCUUAUUUCUCCAAUAGGUGUUUUGUCUAAUGAAAAGGGAGCAAUAUUGUCUCUUGAAACCUUGUCUUUGUCCAACCUGCAUAUCUGUAAAUAUCCAAGCACUAGCUGAUUAGUGUAUAAUGUUAUAUAAUACAAUAGGAGAUGUAAUGGGCACUUCAGUGUAUGUUUACUGUAUAUUCAUCAUCAUCAGGACAUAAACGCAAGGCAACACAAAGGAAAUUUACAUACAUGGCUGCUCUUUGCUCAGAUGCCUCUGUCAUCGCGCACCCGUCCAACAUGUCACAGCGGUCCAGCACAUACUACUCAAGUCAUCGCAAAGAAUCAACCAGCGAGGCCCAGAUGUUCUCCAACAGCUGACUGAAGGAAAGUAUGGCAUGUCCAGUCAAAUAGGCAGCAUCCUCCAUGUUGGCCAACACCUGCCUUUACAGCUGCUCCGCCUCGGGUUUCAUCUCAUUGCAUCCACAUGGCUACUGUAAAGAUGAAAACAUCUUGAUGAAAGUUGUAGGACACCAACAUCCACCAGUGAAGUUGUCAGGCUCACAUAUGGUUCUGGCAGGAUAUGAGGAGAAGAUGACUUGUAGGUGAUGGAGCUGCUGGAUGCUGUUAAAGCCUGUUGGCAGUUGUGGAGGUGUCUGCUAUUGACAAACAGAUAGAUAUGGUCCAUUUGGUUGGACUCAUCCAACUGUUUGUGGUUUUUAAAUAUGUUUAAGAAAAUAUGCCUUUGGAACUGGAAGAGGUUGACUGCACAGUCAUUUACUGGCUACUCUGUUCUGUGUUUGAUUUCACAAUUGAGCAGUAAACAACAUCUUGGCUUU